CUUAACACAUGCAAGUCGAGCGAAGCACUUUUGCGGAUUUCUUCGGAUUGAAGCAAUUGUGACUGAGCGGCGGACGGGUGAGUAACGCGUGGGUAACCUGCCUCAUACAGGGGGAUAACAGUUGGAAACGGCUGCUAAUACCGCAUAAGCGCACAGUACCGCAUGGUACCGUGUGAAAAACUCCGGUGGUAUGAGAUGGACCCGCGUCUGAUUAGCUAGUUGGUGGGGUAACGGCCUACCAAGGCGACGAUCAGUAGCCGACCUGAGAGGGUGACCGGCCACAUUGGGACUGAGACACGGCCCAAACUCCUACGGGAGGCAGCAGUGGGGAAUAUUGCACAAUGGGGGAAACCCUGAUGCAGCGACGCCGCGUGAGCGAUGAAGUAUUUCGGUAUGUAAAGCUCUAUCAGCAGGGAAGAAAAUGACGGUACCUGACUAAGAAGCCCCAGCUAACUACGUGCCAGCAGCCGCGGUAAUACGUANGGGGCAAGCGUUAUCCGGAUUUACUGGGUGUAAAGGGAGCGUAGACGGCAUGGCAAGCCAGAUGUGAAAGCCCGGGGCUCAACCCCGGGACUGCAUUUGGAACUGUCAGGCUAGAGUGUCGGAGAGGAAAGCGGAAUUCCUAGUGUAGCGGUGAAAUGCGUAGAUAUUAGGAGGAACACCAGUGGCGAAGGCGGCUUCUCUGGACGAUGACU
Molecule: ribosomal RNA, 695 nt
Filed under: uncultured Lachnospiraceae bacterium
Lineage: Bacteria; Bacillati; Bacillota; Clostridia; Lachnospirales; Lachnospiraceae
Description: bacterial SSU rRNA
Rfam family: Bacterial small subunit ribosomal RNA
Source: RNAcentral